ACGGGGGGGGCAAGCGUUGUUCGGAAUUACUGGGCGUAAAGGGCUCGUAGGCGGCCAACUAAGUCAGACGUGAAAUCCCUCGGCUUAACCGGGGAACUGCAUCUGAUACUGGAUGGCUUGAGUUCGGGAGAGGGAUGCGGAAUUCCAGGUGUAGCGGUGAAAUGCGCAGAUAUCGGGAGGAACACCAGUAGCGAAGGCGGCACUCUGGGCCGGAACUGACGCCGAGGAGCGAAAGCGUGGGGAGCAAACAGGA
Molecule: ribosomal RNA, 253 nt
Filed under: uncultured prokaryote
Description: partial 16S ribosomal RNA
Rfam family: Bacterial small subunit ribosomal RNA
Source: RNAcentral